UACGAAGGGGGCUAGCGUUGCUCGGAAUUACUGGGCGUAAAGCGUGCGCAGGCGGUGAUGUAAGACAGAUGUGAAAUCCCCGGGCUCAACCUGGGAACUGCAUUUGUGACUGCAUCGCUGGAGUGCGGCAGAGGGGGAUGGAAUUCCGCGUGUAGCAGUGAAAUGCGUAGAUAUGCGGAGGAACACCGAUGGCGAAGGCAAUCCCCUGGGCCUGCACUGACGCUCAUGCACGAAAGGCGUGGGGAGCAAACAGG
Molecule: ribosomal RNA, 254 nt
Filed under: uncultured bacterium
Lineage: Bacteria
Description: partial 16S ribosomal RNA
Rfam family: Bacterial small subunit ribosomal RNA
Source: RNAcentral